This 335-nucleotide unclassified non-coding RNA is filed under the name soil metagenome. Its description in RNAcentral is "partial contains 5.8S ribosomal RNA, internal transcribed spacer 2, and large subunit ribosomal RNA". The stretch from base 1 to 120 matches the Rfam family "5.8S ribosomal RNA", at positions 35 to 154 of the family's 154-position model. The record is from RNAcentral.
GAUGAAGAACGCAGCGAAAUGCGAUAAGUAAUGUGAAUUGCAGAAUUCAGUGAAUCAUCGAAUCUUUGAACGCACAUUGCGCCCAUUAGCAUUCUAGUGGGCAUGCCUGUUCGAGCGUCAUUUCAACCCUUAAGCCCUGUUGCUUAGCGUUGGGAGCCUACAGUACUGUAGCUCCCCAAAGUUAGUGGCGGAGUCGGUUUCACACUCUAGACGUAGUAAUUUUUUCUCGUCUGUAGUUGAGCCGGUCCCCUGCCGUAAAACACCCAAUUUAUCAAGGUUGACCUCGGAUCAGGUAGUAAUACCCGCUGAACUUAAGCAUAUCAAUAAGCGGAGGA